CUGAAUCCCCUGUUCCCUCCCAUGUACCCACUACCCAGGCUUCCCUCCCCCACCUGCCUCAGAGAAUGUUGCCACCUUCCACCUGGGCCUCCCCAGUGACCUCUGUUCACAGUCUCCUUUCUUCCCCUUCUUAGCUCUCUGGUGAUGAAUUCUACUCUGACGUGGCCAAAGGCAUCCUGCAGUAUGUGGCUCGGAGCCUGAGCCACCGGGUGUGUGUCCAUGGUGGCAGGCAGGCCUGGCUGUGGGAGGGGUUGGGGCUUCCACUGCCCUGUGGGCCGGGGCCAGCCAACUCUCCCCUCCCCACAGUCCGGAGGCUUCUAUAGCGCAGAGGAUGCAGACUCGCCCCCAGAGCGGGGCCUGCGGCCCAAAGAGGGCGCCUACUAUGUGUGGACGGUCAAAGAGGUUCAGCAGCUCCUCCCGGAGCCUGUGUUGGGUGCCACUGAGCCGCUGACCUCAGGCCAGCUCCUCAUGAAGCACUACGGCCUCACAGAGGCUGGUAACAUCAGCCCCAGUCAGGUGAGGACUUCUGGGGUCACCUGACGGGCCCUGGUGCCUGCCAGGCAUGUGAGCUCGCAGACAAAGGCCAUUCUCCUCAGGACCCCAAGGGGGAGCUGCAGGGCCAGAAUGUGCUGACCGUCCGGUACUCGCUGGAGCUGACUGCUGCCCGCUUUGGCUUGGAUGUGGAGGCCGUGCGGACCUUGCUCAAU
Molecule: small RNA, 707 nt
Filed under: Pan troglodytes (chimpanzee)
Lineage: Eukaryota; Metazoa; Chordata; Mammalia; Primates; Hominidae
Description: retained intron
Source: RNAcentral